This 255-nucleotide ribosomal RNA is filed under the name uncultured bacterium. RNAcentral describes it as "partial 16S ribosomal RNA". It matches the Rfam family "Bacterial small subunit ribosomal RNA", at positions 524 to 776 of the family's 1533-position model. The record is from RNAcentral.
UACGUAGGGUGCGAGCGUUGUCCGGAAUUAUUGGGCGUAAAGAGCUCGUAGGCGGUGUGUCGCGUCGGCCGUGAAAACCUGGGGCUUAACUCUGGGCGUGCGGUCGAUACGGGCAUCACUGGAGUUCGGCAGGGGAGACUGGAAUUCCUGGUGUAGCGGUGAAAUGCGCAGAUAUCGGAAGGAACACCAGUGGCGAAAAGCGGCUUCCUGGUCCAGCACCGACGUUCAGGCACGAAAGCGUGGGGAGCAAACAGG